This 267-nucleotide long non-coding RNA is filed under the name Populus trichocarpa (black cottonwood). RNAcentral's name for it is "long non-coding RNA (PTRI_LNC001541)". Lineage: Eukaryota; Viridiplantae; Streptophyta; Magnoliopsida; Malpighiales; Salicaceae. The record is from RNAcentral.
AAGUGAAUUCCGAGAAAGUGAAUUAUUUUAUAAUGUUUGGUAGUGUAAUGAAAAAUAAGUUGGAAAACACUUUCCAGUGUUUGGUUAUGUCAUGGAAAAUGAGCUGGAAAAUAACUUAUUAAUGUUUUAUUUUUCUUAAAUUUAUUAAAAUAAUAAAGAACAAAUCUUACAAAUUAAAAAGUUGAAUAAGAAUAAAAUUGAAAAAAAUAUAAUUUCAUAAAUUAUCUCAAAUAAAAUAAAUAAUAAUCAAAAUAAUAGAGAUUAAAU